This 1475-nucleotide ribosomal RNA is filed under the name Candidatus Pelagibacter sp. RNAcentral's name for it is "bacterial SSU rRNA". It matches the Rfam family "Bacterial small subunit ribosomal RNA". The record is from RNAcentral. Lineage: Bacteria; Pseudomonadati; Pseudomonadota; Alphaproteobacteria; Candidatus Pelagibacterales; Candidatus Pelagibacteraceae.
AAACUUGAGAGUUUGAUCAUGGCUCAGAACGUACGCUGGCGGCACGCCUAACACAUGCAAGUCGAACGAAGUAGCAAUACUUAGUGGCAGACGGGUGAGUAACAUGUAGGUAUCUGCCCUUUGGCCUGGAAUAACACGAGGAAACUUGUGCUAAUACCGGAUAAGUCUUUACGGAGAAAGCUUUAUGCACCAUUGGAUGAGCCUGCACUUGAUUAGUUUGUUGGUGGGGUAAUGGCCUACCAAGACUGUGAUCAAUAGCUGAUUUGAGAGGAUGAUCAGCCACAUUGGGACUGAGACACGGCCCAAACUCCUACGGGAGGCAGCAGUGGGGAAUCUUGCACAAUGGAGGAAACUCUGAUGCAGCGAUGCCGCGUGAGUGAAGAAGGCCCUUGGGUUGUAAAGCUCUUUCGUCGGGGAAGAAAAUGACUGUACCCGAAUAAGAAGGUCCGGCUAACUUCGUGCCAGCAGCCGCGGUAAUACGAAGGGACCUAGCGUAGUUCGGAAUUACUGGGCUUAAAGAGUUCGUAGGUGGUUGAAAUAGUUGGUGGUGAAAUCCCAGAGCUUAACUCUGGAACUGCCAUCAAAACUUUUCAGCUAGAGUAUGAUAGAGGAAAGCAGAAUUUCUAGUGUAGAGGUGAAAUUCGUAGAUAUUAGAAAGAAUACCAAUUGCGAAGGCAGCUUUCUGGAUCAUUACUGACACUGAGGAACGAAAGCAUGGGUAGCGAAGAGGAUUAGAUACCCUCGUAGUCCAUGCCGUAAACGAUGUGUGUUAGACGUUGGAAAUUUAUUUUCAGUGUCGCAGGGAAACCGAUAAACACACCGCCUGGGGAGUACGACCGCAAGGUUAAAACUCAAAUGAAUUGACGGGGACCCGCACAAGUAGUGGAGCAUGUGGUUUAAUUCGAAGAUACGCGCAGAACCUUACCAACACUUGACAUGUUCGUCGCGACUCUAAGAGAUUAGAGUUUUCGGUUCGGCCGGACGAAACACAGGUGCUGCAUGGCUGUCGUCAGCUCGUGUCGUGAGAUGUUGGGUUAAGUCCCGCAACGAGCGCAACCCUCACUUUUAGUUGCCAUCAUUAAGUUGGGCACUCUGAAAGAACUGCCAGUGAUAAGCUGGAGGAAGGUGGGGAUGACGUCAAGUCCUCAUGGCCCUUACGUGUUGGGCUACACACGUGCUACAAUGGUAUCUACAACAGGAAGCAAAACUGCGAAGUUAAGCAAAUCCCUAAAAGAUACCUCAGUUCGGAUUGCACUCUGCAACUCGAGUGCAUGAAGCUGGAAUUACUAGUAAUCGUGGAUCAGCGUGCCACGGUGAAUGCGUUCCCGGGUCUUGUACACACCGCCCGUCACACCAUGGGAGUUGGUUCUACCUUAAGGCAAGGUUUCAAACCCUUGACCACGGUAUAGUCAGCGACUGGGGUGAAGUCGUAACAAGGUAGCCGUAGGGGAACCUGCGGCUGGAUUACCUCCUUU